RNAcentral lists this transfer RNA (60 nucleotides) under Schmidtea mediterranea. RNAcentral's name for it is "tRNA-Cys". The record is from RNAcentral. Lineage: Eukaryota; Metazoa; Platyhelminthes; Tricladida; Dugesiidae.
UUAAAUCUAGUAUAAUUUAUUACGAAUAGUUGCAGCCUAUUAGAUCUUCUAGGGUUUAUU